RNAcentral lists this ribosomal RNA (460 nucleotides) under uncultured bacterium. RNAcentral's name for it is "partial 16S ribosomal RNA". It matches the Rfam family "Bacterial small subunit ribosomal RNA", at positions 338 to 795 of the family's 1533-position model. The record is from RNAcentral.
CCUACGGGUGGCUGCAGUGAGGAAUAUUGGUCAAUGGGCGCGAGCCUGAACCAGCCAAGUAGCGUGAAGGAUGACUGCCCUACGGGUUGUAAACCUCUUUUAUAAAGGAAUAAAGUGAGGCACGUGUGCCUUUUUGUAUGUACUUUAUGAAUAAGGAUCGGCGAAAUCCGUGCCAGCAGCCGCGGUAAUACGGGGGAUCCGAGCGUUAUCCGGAUUUAUUUGGUUUAAAGGGAGCGUAGAUGGGUUGUUAAGUCAGUUGUGAAAGUUUGCGGCUCAACCGUAAAAUUGCAAUUGAUACUGGCAGUCUUGAGUGCAGUUGAGGUAGGCGGAAUGCGUGGUGUAGCGGUGAAAUGCUUAGAUAUCACGAAGAACUCCGAUUGCGAAGGCAGCUUACUAAACUGCCACUGACAUUGAUGCUCGAAAGUGUGGGUAUCAAACAGGAUUAGAUACCCCAGUAGUC